Chrysemys picta bellii (western painted turtle) is the source of this 9634-nucleotide non-coding RNA. The record is from RefSeq and is a predicted model, not a curated record. Lineage: Eukaryota; Metazoa; Chordata; Testudines; Emydidae.
UGUCAAACUUUCCCCAGAGCCAAUGGAAAGGGGAGGGCCCGUUGCAGAAGGGGGGAGGAGGGAGAAGUGCCCCAGAGCUGUUUGCUUUGCCAGGCUAAGUUUAUUUGCGCAGUACUUUUAUCACACCUUUCUGUUUGCUCCCGCCAGUAAACCGGGGUCUGUGUCAAACACUGACUCGGAGCAAUAAAAGGCCAUCCUGGAAAUCAGACAGAGCGACUGCGCUCCCCCGGCAGCCCCGCCGAGAAACCCGCUUCCCGGGGAUUGUUUUCUGGCGAGGAAAGAAUUGCUGAACUAGAGGAGAAAAGGCAACCCGGGAGCGAUGUCUCUGAAAGGUUUCAUAAUUCUAAUCACAAUGAGCCGGGCGGUAAGAAAGUCGUAGCGACGCCGCCCGGGAUGAGUGCACACUUGUACCCAGCCCUAUCAGUCCUGGCACAAACGGGGCUGGGGACACGCAGAUCUGCCCCUGGAGUUUGUAUUUGAAGGACACACAUUGUCCAGGGUUUGCGUUGCUUAAGAAAAGCGAGGGGACUGGCUUCGAACGCCCCGCGAUCCCCAGGGUAAAGCGGCGUCGAACUCGUGUGUGUAGGUUCAAGUGUAAACGCAAAAGCUCUGAAUGACCAGAGAAAUGCAGCCCGCGGGGAAAGCCAGGCGCUUCCUCCUUGGAGCUUCUGAUGCGUUGAACCAUCAGACUUAUCGAGCUGGCAGUCAGAUCUCCUGCUUGUCAAAUAGUUCCCCCUGUCUGAGCAGGUCACCGAACGGCUUGGAUUUGUAAUUAGGAGCGCGGCGAAGUGGAGUCUGAGCCGCCUUGGCCUUUGCUAGGUCCCCGUUUGAUUCUUUUCCUUUUGUUCCCUCUCUUCAGCCUGGCCCCAUAUGGGCCCGGGGAUCAAUUGUGCCAGUCUCGGAUGGGCGAGUGACCGCAGCUUCUCCCCCCACCAGGUCAGACAAAUCCCGUCCCCCGGUACCCCAGCUUUGCAGCUGAUCCUGCGCCCCCUGGAAAUUGCCGAAUAUGCAAAAAAAAAAUACACAAAGGUGCGGGGCAAGUGGCCUUGAAUCGAGGCUCGGAACGGGGAGGGGGCGCUAAAUGGGCUUAAAAGGUGUGUGUGGUUCUAACCCCCGUCCCCACAGGAGGGUCCGCGUUCCCACGCCCGGUUAUGCUUCCCGGAGGGGGCUCGAUCCGAAGGAAAUCUACCCCCGCGCGUACACACGGGUCAUGCAGCCCGGAUCUCCCGCAGCGGGUCGGGGAGGGCUGGGAACGGACUGAAUCGGGCUGCAGAGCUCGGCAGGGAAACGUUUGAAAGCCAGUCGCUGAAAGCACCAAGGGGCAAGGGCGGGUUUCCUCCCCCCGUCUCUGGCCCAGCCUGGGGGGACCCCGCGGGUCGGAGACGGUGGAACGAUGUGGGGUGAAGCCAGGCGGCGGGGCCCGGCAGGUUGGCGUGACCGUGUUUCCCGGCAGCAGAGCUGGACAAGGGAGAGGUCCCCCCGAGAUGUGUGUCCGGGUCCCGCUCCUGGAGGAGCGCUUCGCCGCUGGCAGUAAUGGGACGUGCUGGACUCGUGUCUGCGUGCAAGGAGCUGGCUGCGUUCAGUUCCCAGUGGGAAGAGACCCACGUUGCAAAGUUACCCUCACAACUGGCACCAGUUGGCAUCCUUGUUCGCUGGCCCAAUAUCGAAUGAGCCAUGAAGGCUGAAUGAUGUUCCCAGCCCCGAAAGCAGCUGUAAUGCUGCAAUGGAAUUACUCCAAUGAAUACGUAUUACUCCCAGGAUUAACAGUGGCGGGGUCGGGCCCAAUGUCUGGGAUUCCCUGUUAGCUACAAGAACUGACUUGCAUUUUCUUAUAUGCAGUGGUUGUAGCCUUUACCACCUUGUGCCUCUUGCAUCUUCUUAGUGAGCUAGGAACUAUUCCCUGCAGAAGCAUCUUGUCUCCUAGCUCCAUAGACUACGAGGUCCAUAAACACAAGUGGAUUGUGUUUGUAAAUCGAGUGAUUACAGGGCACAGACUGAAACUCCUUCCAUUUCCAGUCACCUCCAUGUAACUAACAUGAAGGAGGUGAGUCGAAGGCAGACAUCUGAGGCAGACUGGUCAUCUGCAAGUGCCUUUUUUCUCAUAGUUGAUUUCCAGACUUCAGCUUUUUUUUUAAAAAUGCCAUAACAAAAAGCUACAGCCCUGUUGGCUGUUGUUGGCUAUAUGGACCAGUGGAGCUUCACAGCAGCGGAGGAACUGGAACCUAUGUGUUUUUUGAGGGGAGCUUUCUAUCGCUCCUUUCUUGGUGAAACACCGAACAAAAGUUGCUACGCUGGUGGAAAUUUAAUUCUGUGCUGCCCCCACAGGGUCAGAUCCUCAGCUGGUGUAAAUCAGGGUAGUCCCACUGACUUUGCAGCGUUAUGAUCCCUCGGAUGCAUGCAAUUUGGUGCAGCUCCACUGUCUUCAUCCAAUGUUUCACGCGCUCUCAGAUGCUCCUACUAAGUUUCAGGAAGGCGCGAGGUCUGACCCCAGGAAUCUGGUGUCGAUGUGCUGGAGAAGAGGCAGAACCUCUCCUUUAACCACCCCACUGAAUUCUGGGGGAAGAAGCUGCUGAGAAAACGGUUUUCACCCAGUGGUAUCUAAGUGCCUAGAAGACAUGACCACAUCACAAAAGCCAUCUCCAUCACCAGAUGUGGUAGCUGCCAACUUGCCACCCUUGUGAACACUAUGAGCAGAGGGGCCCUGGGUUUAAUGGGCCAUGAAUUAACUUCAUAGUUAACACCUUAGAGGUGUUCAAGGCAUUGGGCCCUCCAAUGCUGAGAAGAUCUGCAGUUUCAGGAGAGACUCAGACAAGCCUGGAUGUGCCUGCAGCAGAAAUGCAAGCAUCAACCAUUAAAUACUAGGGGGCUUGCUUUAUGCUGCGCCGCCUUAGGUGACUGGCUGGCUGUGUAUGGUCUAGCCAUCAGACUGUACCUUUUCCUGGAACUCGAGCCUUUUACGCUUUCCAGCAGGGUGAAUGUUAAACGCAAAUAUUUAAAACAGUCUCUUGGACGCAUCGGGAACAAUUUGAUGAUCGGGCUGAUACUGCUGAAGACAGGGAGAGCUUCUGACUCACAGUGCCCAUUCCUGGCGGUUCUGUUGCAGAGAUGGAUCUGGACCUAAACUAGACCUGUGCCUUCAGCUCCCACCAAGCUUUGGAGUGGUUCGGCUACUGCUUCUGACCUCAUCCUUCUCUCUAACCAAGGGCUCAACCAGAACGCUGAAUCCAACCCAACCCAGCUUCAGAGACAUUUGGAUUCUGGCUCCAAUCUUCAUGACUCACCUCAGACCACUGUGAGAAUAUAUGCUGUCUGCAGGCCAACCUCAUGAUGCUCAGGGUGAUGAAUAUAGGAGCUACUUCCAGAAACAAGGUGACUGACACUUUGUUGUGUGUCUGGUGCCUACAUACUGCGCUGAUGGCUACUGUAGAAAUGGAGAAAGGCAGCCCAGAGAUUGGGGUUCUGCAUUGGACAGGGAUACUCACGUGGUUCAGAACUUUAGCUGACCAAUCAGGCUUCUCCUUUUACCCAGCUUAUUGUACAGAGUGGAGAUCUGCUUUCUGUGUGGCUGACCCGUGCAAACUUGCUUUGCAGAGCGGUCUAUUCUCUGGUGCUCUGAAAUAAAUUACUAAAUGUAAACAAUGCGCAAUAAACCAGGUCCUUCACGGCACAGACCCUUUGCCACCCGGGAUCCACCCUGUGCUAAACCUUUUCAUGGUCGGCAGCCUACAGCGUGAUUUUUUUCCCCUCUCCCGGGGCGGGAUUAGGACCUUUUCCUACCAGGACAGUAGAGAGAGCUGGCAUCACUCCAGCAUGGACACCGCCAUGACACAGUCCUUCCCUGGAAGAUGAAUGGCCGGCCAGUUUUCUUAAUCCAGCCACUUUGGAAAAAUUGUUUGUUCUCAUCCUGUUUGAAACGGCUUCAAAGUGGCUCCGGUCUAGACUGUGCCAAGAUAAAUUACAAACCCAAAGAGCUGAUAUAAACCACAGGGGGAGCGAGUCAUUUGCUUUAAUGUAAUUAAAACAAGCUAUACUAAUGUAUGUAUGUAUGUAUAUGUGCAUGCACACUCUCGUCUAGCUGGAAGGUUGGGGAGGAAGAAAAAAAGCUCUGCUGGAAAGCUUUUGUUUUGCUCGCCCCGUGAAGGCUGAGAUUUCUCCAGUGGAACCGAAUUUUGAGAAGCACCGUCUCCACCCCGCCAGUCCUUUAAGACUGGCGGGGUGGAGACCCAAGUUGAUCCUUUCCCCUCCCACAGCUUCAGCCAGCCAAUUAGAUUGUAGCAGGCGAGCUAGGCUGCAUGGCGAUAGGUAUAAAAGGAGUAGGGAUAUAUGAAAAUUAGCAGGAGGCCAUUGGUGUUGGGGGCGCGGAUGGAUACACAGUACUUAGAUACAAUCCGGACAGCUAAGAAUGAGGGAGUGGCACUAUUCGGAAAGAGGAAUACAGCACUGUAACAGGGUGAUAGAGGCCCAAGGCCUUAGAAACAAUAACAGAGAACAACAGAAGGAGAGAAAUGGUGCCCUGCUCUCGGUGUGAAAACCAACGUAGAGCAAGGCCAGAUAGGGCUAAUCAUCACUAACGGAUCUGACCCUUAGAGCAUGAUUUUCCUACCACAUAAUCCAAUGUGACUUUUAGGCUCUGUAAAGACACAAAGACACAGUCUGUGCCACUGUAACUCAUCUAUUUGGUUAUAGGGUCCAAGUUUCUGGUUUGGUUUUCAUACUUGAAGCUUUAGACAGAUGUAGAUCUAAACACAAUCUCAAAGACGUAGUCUGUGUUUAAAAAAGAAUAGCUUAAAAAGAAUGAAGUUACUUUUACCAUUAUUCAUCAGAUCUUUUUGUUUAUGCUGCACAAGCUGACGGAGACAAUAUUAUUCACCAGAAGUACUGUACAAACUCAAAAAUAUAGCUCUAUUAGCAGUAGAUAAGGCGAAAAUGUUCAUGAGUAUGUCGUCUGGGUCAGAGUUAUGGUUGAUUCUGAAACACAAAAGGUUGGCUGUUACAUGUCAGUAGUGUUGUUAACUAAUUUUGCUACACGAGCUGCUGGAAUAAUGGAAAAUAUCUGAUGUUAUUUCCUUUCUUCUGAAUGUUUAAAGGAUAGAUGUUGCUGCCUUUACUCACAUGGUGUAUCACCUUGCUCCACAAGGGGUCCCACUGAUUUUAUGGGGACUACUCAAGGAUUAAGGUACUACUCAGUAUAUGUAAGGAUAUUACACUCUGGCCCUUAUUAGCCAGUUAGAAUGAGGGUUAAUCAUUGGAGCAACCUUAACCUGACAGCUUUUCGGGAGGUUGGUAUUUAUCAAUCUAAGCGUCAGUAAAUCAGUUUUUAAAACUAGGUUCUGGAGCAGAUCUCAUUCUGUGAAGAGGAUUGCACAUGUAAAGUAAAUGGGCGUGAUUAUUUCUAACAAACCAUUCAGGGGUAAUUCUCACAUGAGGCUUUGAUGAUCUCAGUCCAAAAAUAUCUUGGUUAAACAGCACAAGAACUGCCAUACUCAGGCCAAUACUCCAUCUAAUCUAGGUACCUUCCUCUGGUACCACAAGUUUAAAAGGCAGGGGGAAAAAACCCUAGACUUCAGCUGGAAACUGUGCAACAUUCAACUGAAUUUUCAUCCUGACCCUUAAGAACAAUCAGCUUGUGCCCUGAAGCAUGAGGAGAGAUAGUAACACCUGUCUUUUUUUAUCCUUCCUAGUGUAUCUGCCAUUGCCAUUCUUAGUCAGAUCUGCUUAAUCAUUGCUUCGAAGAUAUUUGCCUCAGAACCAUUUUUAAUCUCUCUUUUUUUCCUUCUAUGGAGAACAAGCUGAAAUCUGCUCAGAUAACUUUAAGCUUAAAAUAUACGGGCCCUGUUAUUGUUGGGUUUGUUUUUCAACAAGCCACAGUUGAAUCAAGAGCUGUUGGUGAGAAACUAAUGGCUUGUCUCCACUAGGAAGUUGUAGGGCUUUAGCUGUUGGUAUAGGUACAGCAGUAAAAUCCUCCGAGUGUGGGCGCAAUUCCAUCAGUGUAAAGGGAUUUUAUACCACUAAAGCUACUCCCAUAUGGGACGGGAAUAACUAUAUUGGGAUAAGGCACCUUUAUAGUGGUCUAACUAGGGGAUGUACCAACAUAACUAGAAAAUCACCUCCCUAACUGACAUAGUUAUAUUAGAAAAACUGCCGAGGUGUAGACCAGGCCUAAGACAGCUGGGAGAUGGACUAUACCAUUGCUGCAAAAGGCCGGGGAGAGUUAUUGUACUGCCUGACUGCGGCGAAGGAUUAAACUAGCACUGGCUUUCAUUUGCAUGCCAUUAACAGUGAGGAUCUCUCUAGCUCUGGGUGGGGCUGCUCACCAACCCUGUGUUUGCAGGUGUCCUUCCUUCCCCAUGCAAAUCCUUUCCCGUCAGUCAGGCUCUCUUUCCAAACACGACAUUAUCUUCAAUUAAAAACAAAGACAAGCUGAACAGCAGGUGCUGACUUGUCCGGGCUACAAUUAGCAACCUCAGCUGUGCGACUUAUUUGGGGGAGAGGUCAGGGGUUUGCUUUUUUUGAGUGUGUUUUCUCCCUCUGUUUAUUUCUGUUCGUGUAUUUUCCAAAUUGUAUCCGCACAGGUGAGGGUUAAACGAACUUUGCUCAGCUCAGGACCCUGGCAGUGCCCUGUUUGCAUCCAACGGAGCAGACUUUAGCCAGCCUCUUCUAGGAUAGGAUCCUGUGUGUCUCCUCGGCUCCCACGGAUUGCAAGUGACGGAGCCCUAAUGCCGUAGUGCAGCCUGGCUCAGAUGCCAGGUCCCCCUGCACGCCUGGAUCCAAGCAGCCUCUAAGAUGGAGAGAGCCGCAGCCCCGUGCUAAUGGUCAGGGCGAAUGUGUGCCACAGGGUAGACUUCCUGCGACUUCAGGACGCAUUUGGGGGCGCUCCUGCAUUGGGCUCGUUGUGCUGCUGUUGGCCCGGGGGCCGUUUGAGAUCACAAAGCGCUGGAGGGAUUAAUUGCAUUCCCACGGGGCGAUUGCUGCGGGCGAGCUAAUGCGAAGGCAUUCUGGGCGGGGUUUUUUCUCUCCUUCCUCUGAAGCAGCAGGGCCAGCCAUAGCUGGAGAUGGGACACUGAGUGGGGUGGGCCAGGGCUUUGAGGUGUUCCUGGGCAUUCUCUCUCUCAGGGGCUCUUGUUCCCAUACUCAGGGGCUCACCGAUCACCAGAUUCAGGGUCGGGAAGGAAUUUCCCUCCAGGUCACAUUGGCAGCGAUCUUGGGGGGGUCGGGGGGGUUCACCUUCCUGUGCAGCGUGUGUGUGUGUGGGCCGCGUGCCAGGAUUAUCCGGGUGUAUCUCACGUAGCCGUUUCCUUGCACUGGUGCACCUCAGGCCCUCCUGUUCUCUGCCUGUGGCACAUCAGAGCCAAGUCUCCCGUGGGCUGGAAUACUUGGGUCUGUUUCGGUUGUUGGGUUUAGUGCGCGGGUGCGGAGUGGACUUGGUGGCCUGUGCUCUACAGGACGUCACUGGACGAUCUGGUGGCCCCUUCUGGCUUAAAACUCUAUUACUCUGCACCCAUAUUGCCUGCCAUGUGUACCUGUCGCAUCCCUUGCACCUUGUCUUAUGGAGCAGGUCAGGACUUGUGGUUAGCUACUGCGCUGGUCAAAAAGUGCUGGGGGACUUUAAAAUUCUGCCUAGAUGACCCACCCCGCAGAGACCUCAAUAUAAUGUUUCAGCCAGAGGGCACCUCUGCCAGUGCAGCCCCCUCCUCCUCUCAGCAUGGCACGGCCAGUUUCAGUGUUGGGUAUAUGCCCAGGUCCUCUGGUGGGAGUUGGAGUGGGGAGUAUUUGUGUCUUAAUAAAAUAACUUCUUCUGGCCCAGGCCGGGCUGAGUCGCUGCUGCACUGGCCUGAGGAGUGGCUGCAGGACGGCAGCGCGGCCCAUUCAUUGCUUUACGUACGUAUGGGUCCCCGGGGUAGAUACGAAACCAGCUCCCUGGAGCCCCAUUCUGUUCCAUUUGCUUCGUGAUUUAAGCCUGCAAGCCCCUGCAAACCUGCAACCUCCACGUCGGUAUCGAUGCGGGCUCAAGCAUUCUUCAGCCACAUAAAUUUCAGGUCCGGGUGCUUUGAAGUUCCCAAUGAGGACAGUUGUUUUUGUUUGUAGUGUUGCUUAUCACUUUAAUGCCCCCUCCCUGUCUCCACGCGGGCUCCACUCUCAAUCUAGCCCCAUCCUUCUGUCCAUGCAGGCCCUGCUGCCAGGGACCGCAGCGCUGCCAGAGACCACUGAUAAGGAUGAUGGAUGGGGAGAAGGCUGGCUCCACCAUGGCCCAGUGGCUUCCUGGGAGCUCGAGACAGUCUAGCUGUUCCAAAGCCCAUUGGAAUGCUUGUUUAGAAGCUGGAAAGCAGCUGGGGAGGGGGAAGAAAGGGGCAGAAAAUGCUGCCUCCAUCCCCCUUCCCAGAUGAAUCCCAGAUGAACCCUCAGCCUGGCUGCGAUAGCAGAUUUCAGCACCCUUCCGCUGCAAUGAUUUGCUCCCAUGUUGACAAGGUUCCCUUUCAGCAUCUAGCCCACCCUGCAAUCCCGUUCUUCCAGGCCAGUACGCGGUGGCUCUGAUUCACCCAGACACUGGUGGAGGCGGCCAAAGCAAACCAGGGAAUAUAGCGAGGACCAAUUCUCCACCACUUUCCCGCCGCUGCAGCCAGUUCUUACCGUGCAAAGGGAGGACCCAGGAGUGCCAAACGUCAGCAGCUGUCUUGGGCCAGCUGGGAGCGACUCUGGAUCCGAGCCGGCUUCUUUCGGUGGAAUGAGUGAGGCCGGUGGCUUUCGUCAGCUGCUGCCUGUGAUACGCGGCUGGAGUCUAGUGAAAAAGCCGAAUCCUGUGUUCCGGGGAUUGCAGCCCGUUGUCCUGGCGAUGAUGCUGAUCUCACGAUCGCAGCAUGAUGACUUCACUGCAGGGUGUGGAAGGAGGAGACAGCUAUUUCCUCAGCGAAAUGGCCAGGGGACCAUGACAGACAGUACAGGAAAGAUUUCCUCCCCGGCUGAGAAGAAACGUGCUAGAUCCUUCACAAAGUAAAGACACGUCCAGACAAGCUCUCUGCCCCAGAAAGCGUCCAGCCUCCAUUCUGCACGACGCAGCAAAGGCAAGUCAGAAGGAUGAAAAGCGGGAAGGGGAGAGGACAGCCCAAGGUGACCGUGGUAAGAUCAGCACCUCAGCGUCUUCUGCCCAGCACCUUUCAUCUGGGGACCCCCAAAGCACGUUACAGACCUUCCUUGGGCCUGGCAGCAUGCCUGCAAUGAAGGGCAUUGUAAGAACUCUCCUUCUGUGGAUCAAAGUUUAGGCUCCUCUGAUUUGGGAGGCCCAAUCUGAGACCCCCUUUGGGCCAGAUUUUCAGAGGCGUUGAGCCCCUGCCGCUCCCAUCAGGCCGGAUCCUCAGUUGGCAUAAAUUGGUAUAGCCCCUUCCAUGGAGCAAACACUGCUUUACAUCAGCUGGGGAUCUGACCCCUUGACAGCAAUGGUUUUCCAGGCAGCUUCAGCAGCUCUUUAACCCCUUCAUGACUGCGGGGCUCUAUCUCAGCAGCAGUGCAUGUGGACGCAGGGCCGGCUCCAGACACCAGCAAAGAAAGCAGGUGCUUGGGGCGGCCAACGGAAAGGGGCGGCACGUCCGGGUCUUCGGCGGCGGGUCCCUCAGUCCCUCUGGGAGCGAAGGACCCGCCG